This 592-nucleotide ribosomal RNA is filed under the name uncultured bacterium. RNAcentral describes it as "bacterial SSU rRNA". It matches the Rfam family "Bacterial small subunit ribosomal RNA", at positions 355 to 957 of the family's 1533-position model. The record is from RNAcentral.
UGGGGAAUAUUGCACAAUGGGCGGAAGCCUGAUGCAGCAACGCCGCCUGCGGGAUGACGGCCUUCGGGUUGUAAACCGCUUUCGCCUGUGACGAAGCGUGAGUGACGGUAAUGGGUAAAGAAGCACCGGCUAACUACGUGCCAGCAGCCGCGGUGAUACGUAGGGUGCGAGCGUUGUCCGGAUUUAUUGGGCGUAAAGGGCUUGUAGGUGGUUGAUCGCGUCGGAAGUGUAAUCUUGGGGCUUAACCCUGAGCGUGCUUUCGAUACGGGUUGACUUGAGGAAGGUAGGGGAGAAUGGAAUUCCUGGUGGAGCGGUGGAAUGCGCAGAUAUCAGGAGGAACACCAGUGGCGAAGGCGAUUCUCUGGGCCUUUCCUGACGCUGAGGAGCGAAAGCGUGGGGAGCGAACAGGCUUAGAUACCCUGGUAGUCCACGCUGUAAACGGUGGGUACUAGGUGUGGGGUCCAUUCCACGGGUUCCGUGCCGUAGCUAACGCUUUAAGUACCCCGCCUGGGGAGUACGGCCGCAAGGCUAAAACUCAAAGGAAUUGACGGGGCCCCGCACAAGCGGCGGAGCAUGCGGAUUAAUUCGAUGC